AGAAUCAACGCUGGCGGCGUGCCUCAGACAUGCAAGUCGAACGCGAAAGUUCCCUUCGGGGAGCGAGUAGAGUGGCGCACGGGUGAGUAACACGUAGGUAAUCUACCUUUGGGUGGGGAAUAACAGCCGGAAACGGCUGGCUAAAUACCGCAUAAUGCAGCGGCUCGACAUCGAGACAGUUGUUAAAAGCGGGGGAUCGCAAGACCUCGCGCCUAAAGAGGAGCCUGCGGCGGAUUAGCUUGUUGGUGAGGUAAUGGCUCACCAAGGCUUCGAUCCGUA
Molecule: ribosomal RNA, 279 nt
Filed under: uncultured soil bacterium
Lineage: Bacteria
Description: partial 16S ribosomal RNA
Rfam family: Bacterial small subunit ribosomal RNA
Source: RNAcentral